RNAcentral lists this long non-coding RNA (139 nucleotides) under Dasypus novemcinctus (nine-banded armadillo). RNAcentral describes it as "Non-protein coding RNA, upstream of F2R/PAR1 conserved region 1 (ENSDNOG00000047041.1)". It matches the Rfam family "Non-protein coding RNA, upstream of F2R/PAR1 conserved region 1". Lineage: Eukaryota; Metazoa; Chordata; Mammalia; Cingulata; Dasypodidae. The record is from RNAcentral.
AAAGAGCACGCAAACAUUACAGGCACUUUGUAGAGUAUCAAGAUUAAGAGAAAACAUUUUUACCGACAGACCAUGACACAAAAUCAGAAAUCAAUCACAAAAAAACAGUCAGAACUUGUAAAUUCAUAUGCUGAAGAGG